Molecule: long non-coding RNA, 1199 nt
Organism: Talpa occidentalis (Iberian mole)
Lineage: Eukaryota; Metazoa; Chordata; Mammalia; Eulipotyphla; Talpidae
Exons: 4
Source: RefSeq, a predicted model, not a curated record
CGAGGUGAGACCCUGCCAUGUGCAGAGGCCAGAAGUGGGAGAGAUGAGGAAUUGGUGCUGUCCUUGCUGACGUAUGAACGGGUGACCCACUGUCCCAUUUUGCCUGGGACUGUCCCAGUUUUAGCACCAAGAGGAUAUCAUCGCAGAUGUGGCAGGUGGAAUUCUAGGAUGACUCCCAAAAUUCCAUGCUGUGCAUGCCACUUCACCCAGUUAUUCAAUCAAGCAUUAAAUCUAGGUGUUGAUGUGAAGGGAUUUUGCAGGUGUAAAUAAAUUGACUUGAAGACAGGAAGAUCAGCUGGCCUUACCAGGAGAUGCGAAACCCUAGGGGGUGCACUGAGGCUUUGAAGACGGUGGAGGUGAGCUGGCAAGGAGGCUGAGGAACUUCUGGGAAUUGAGGGGUCUCCUGCUGACAGCAGGCAAAGAACUGGGAAUUUCAGCCCUACACUGUCAGAAACUGAACUCAGCCAACAAUGUGAAUGAGUUCCAGAACGGAUUUUUACCCAGAGUCCCCAGAACUCAGUCGGCAGACAUCUGAAUCUCAGCUUUUGAGACUGAGGAGGGAAUCCCGCCAUGCCCCAGUGUGGGUAUUGCUCCAAGUGGCUGAGUUAGUGGGAACUAGCUAUGCUGCAAUAGAAGUAUAAUAAAGAAGAGGAAAUGCUUCAGUGUCAGGUGAGCAGAACACACACAUCUCCUCUGAGAGCUAAAACUGAGAUAAGUCACAUCCUUUGGAUCCAUUCAUCAGCAUUCAUGAAUGGACUGCUGUGUAACAGCUGCUCUGGGGGAUAUAACCAAGUGUCCCCCUCACCCCGCAGUGUCUCAGGGGCUCUCCCUGUUGUCUCUUGGUGUGGGCCUGCCUCAAAGCUUGGUGGUCUCAGGACAUGCUGUUUUCAGCUCAAGUUCUCAGAGGAGUGCCCGGGAAAGAGUUCAGUGACUCUUGGAGGCAUGGACAAUAUUCCCACAGGAGGAGAGGGGAAGAAGCACUUCAAGCGGAGAGGAGAGAAUGAGCAAAAGAAGGAAAGCACAUUCAGAAAAUACAGUUUAAUGAUGAGGCCGACCUCUCCUGUCUCGCCUACUGCUCCCCUCAGCGGUGACUUCGGUCCUUCUGCCUGUUCUGCUCCCUGCUCUGGCUCUGGUGAAUUCUCUCACCCUCCCACGCCUCUGGCCUGUACUCCAGUGCUUGAAUAAAUAAAUAAAUAUGU